AUUGAACGCUGGCGGCAUGCCUUACACAUGCAAGUCGAACGGCAGCGGGGGAGAAGCUUGCUUUUCCUGCCGGCGAGUGGCGAACGGGUGAGUAAUACAUCGGAACGUGCCCUGUAGUGGGGGAUAACUAGUCGAAAGAUUAGCUAAUACCGCAUACGACCUGAGGGUGAAAGUGGGGGACCGCAAGGCCUCAUGCUAUAGGAGCGGCCGAUGUCUGAUUAGCUAGUUGGUGGGGUAAAGGCCUACCAAGGCGACGAUCAGUAGCUGGUCUGGGGAGACGAUCAUCCACACUGUGACUGAGACACGGCCCAGACUCCUACGGGAGGCGGCAGUGGGGAAUUUUGGACAAUGGGCGAAAGCCUGAUCCAGCAAUGCCGCGUGUGUGAAGAAGGCCUUCGGGUUGUAAAGCACUUUUGUCCGGAAAGAAAUGGCUCUGGUUAAUACCUGGGGUCGAUGACGGUACCGGAAGAAUAAGGACCGGCUAACUACGCGCCAGCCGCCGCCGUAA
Molecule: ribosomal RNA, 508 nt
Filed under: uncultured bacterium
Lineage: Bacteria
Description: partial 16S ribosomal RNA
Rfam family: Bacterial small subunit ribosomal RNA
Source: RNAcentral